This is a long non-coding RNA of Cavia porcellus (domestic guinea pig), 313 nucleotides long. RefSeq lists it as uncharacterized. The transcript has 2 exons. NCBI's taxonomy places the organism in Eukaryota, Metazoa, Chordata, Mammalia, Rodentia, Caviidae. The record is from RefSeq and is a predicted model, not a curated record.
GUUCCAUGAAGACUAGGAUGGUUAGGUAGCCGCAAUCUUCCUUCUCAAAAAGAGCAGAAUUACUUAUAAAACUGAAGGUCCUAAACUACAGCCAUGUAAAAUAGAUGGUUUUCAAGAGACGAAAGAGAGUCAGUGUCAGAAGAAAUCUGAAGCAGGAAAAACAAGAGAUGGAAAGUAAAUGACAGCAUAUUUUGAACACAUUCAGCCACCCCCAACCCUUUUUUGGCUUCUUUUUUUUUAAAAAUAAUAUGUAAAAAAUGAAACGCGGACUUUGGUUAAUGCAUAUAUUAACUAAAUCAUGUAUCAUAUAUCA